AAGGAAAAUAAGUUGAAAGUAGUAAUCCCUUCUUCUUCUCUAAGAUAAACCAGUCUGCGAUAGGGUUGGUCUGACAGAGAGCUGGGUCAGUUGGACUGAACUAUGUCAUGGAAGGAGAACAAGACCUCCAACUGAGACAAGAGCAUUAAUGUUCCAGUUCCCUAGAUGUUUUAAAAAAUGCAGAUAUUCUCAAUUGGUAUCACAAACUUAUACACGGAUACAUCAUUAGAACUAAGAAUUUAACAAUAUGUUCAACUGCGCAAGAAAAAUUCCAAGGUGAGAACUACUUCCACCCUUGGUUUUUUGGACCCAUGGGUUCUGCUUAUGAGCUAUCACACUAUACAGUGGGUCAAUUAUUUAGAAGAGAUGCUGCCUCCGGGGGGAUGGUACCCCAUCUUCACUGGUAAUCAUUUCCAAGCUGGUCCCUCAAAGGCAUCUUCAACAGGUUUUUAAAUUGCUCCACCAGCAAGCUUUCAACCACUAGAUUCUGGACCACUAGACUCUUUAACUAUAUCCCUGCUCCUGCACCACUGAUCAUCACUGGUAACUCUACCUCCUUUCCUGUAGAGUGGGUGCCUUGGCCCAGUGUAAUACUAUGUGG
RNAcentral lists this long non-coding RNA (601 nucleotides) under Mustela putorius furo (domestic ferret). Its description in RNAcentral is "lncRNA (ENSMPUG00000025426.1)". Lineage: Eukaryota; Metazoa; Chordata; Mammalia; Carnivora; Mustelidae. The record is from RNAcentral.